This is a long non-coding RNA of Rattus norvegicus (Norway rat), 1553 nucleotides long. RefSeq lists it as uncharacterized. Lineage: Eukaryota; Metazoa; Chordata; Mammalia; Rodentia; Muridae. The record is from RefSeq and is a predicted model, not a curated record.
ACAACUAAGUUCCCUCACAUUAUACUUCAACAACAUGUCUGCCUAAACAAGCUCUGAAGAAGGACAACACCAAUAGAAAUGUUAAUGCGGAUAGGAGACUCUCAAGGGGACCCACUAAAGGACAAAAACUACAGGCAACUAAGAAACUGAAAGAAAUUUCAACAAAGCAAUUCCAAUAUAAAUAUACUAUAGUCCUAUAGGCCCACAAGAGACUGAACUGUUGUCCACAAUAUACUGAGCCCAGUAGGAGAGGGAGUCAAGAUGCUUCAUUUUUACUUGAACCAAUACUACCUAAAGGUGAAAGAUGACAAGACAUGAGUAAAUUGCUAAAGACCCAGAAAGACCAGAAAGACAGCAUCAGGACCUCCUACAUGACUACUAGGUACAAGCUUCAAAUUCCACAUACUUGAUACACUUACUUGUGAAUGGAAUUCCAGAAGCUCAUGGAAAAUAAUUUAUUGGGCCUACAUUUAAGAUGCAGAAACCAAGAACCAAAUGAUUACGACAGAUUGCAGACAACUGGGACAGAAACGAGUUGUUCACUUAGAGGCACUACAAUUAGCGUGCCCAAGAGACCACGAAGUAACCGAGAAUGAGAGUAAUACCUAUUCAAGUCUCUUGAAACUCAAUAAUGGGAACUAACUGAAAGAAGAAUUCUUACAUCUUGAAUUGGAAAUGAGAAUAAGUUUGUUAUUGGUAAAGAGAAGAAAGAAUAUAUAUGGUUCACGAACAGAAUAUAACUAGAAAUCCUGUGUGAGUAGAAGUGUUGAUGCACAUCUAAGAUCAGAAAAACAGCAUCAGCACUGUGCUGUUUCAAAACGUAUUGUUUUGAGAAAGAAAAUGCUCUAAUAGAUUUUUAAUGUGAUUUCAUUUAUACUAUAAAACAGUAUAUCCCAAGUUCUGAUAAAUUUUGUAGUACAUAUUAUACUCGAAAACAAACAUCUAAAAGAUUUAUUCUAAUAAUUAGAAAUCUUCCUAAGUUAUAUUUAAUUUUAAGAUGAAAGUAUCAAUAAAUUACUAACUUAAGAAAAACAAAGCAAUCAGGGUAUUCAGAAUUAUUGUUUGAAUUAAUGUAUGAGGUUGUAAAAUUAUAAUGUUUAUUCAUCUAUCAUUUGAAAGAAACAAUUACACUUUGAGAAAGGUUUUCAACUCAUAUUAGUUAUUCAUAACUUGACAAACUAAAAAAAAAACAAAGGUUCAGUAUGUAAAUUUCAAUGUUAUACACUUUCAAAUUCCUCUCAAGUGAGGAAUGAAUGUGAUUGAAGUACUGUUGUUUCCAUUGCAUAAAUCACUUCCUUCCUAUUGAUUCUGGGUGUUUUAUAGUUUUAUCAGAAAAAUGUAUUAUCACUGCAACACAGGUAUUUGUAAAUGUCAGCAUUACAUUCUUUUCUUUUCAUCUGUAUAAAAAGGUAUCAAACAGAUUUAACAAUAAAGGUUCAUAUUACUGAAUACAUAAACACCUAUAUUUAAUAAAAAUUCAGCAAACUAAGAAUGAUUAGAGAAAUGAAAUCCACUGUUGUGUUUAUAUUUAAUUAAACAUUACUCUGUCAAAA